CGAGCACCCCAGGCGGGCACCCCGGAUACCUUGCGGCGGCAGACGGGCGCCGUCAUCUCCGCGCUUCUCGGCCCGGGAGGGACUCGAAAGGCCCCGACCUUCCAGCUCUGGGGCUGCCGCCUGGGAGCAUGUUCUCCGUCCAACAAAUUCAACGCUGACUCGGCUUUUGUCACCUUCCCUUCCCCACACUCCACAACUGAUGCUUAAGCGGCGGCUGCCUUGCCCCCAAGAGGCCGAGGAUGGCAGAGGCCCCUACCACCACUGUGUCCCCACCCUUCGAUGGCACGCCUGAUGCUGUGUCAUCCACGUCGCCCUCCAAGGCGUCAGGGAAGCCACACGCAGUAUCUCUUUUUCUCAGAGAGCUCCUCUUUCAACGCCGAAAAGCAGGGGCCUUCCUCUGAGCUGCUCUCCAGCUCUAUGCUCCGGCUACCGCGCUUCGCCCUAGCUGCAGCGGCCCAAGGUAUCAUCCAGCCGAGAGAAACCAGGCCCGGGCUGUGCUUCCUCCAUAAAGCAGCUGACAUGUUUCCAACUGUUAAUACUUUUCCUACCGAGGUUCUGAAAAGUGGCCUGUUCUCGGCCUUUGGAAACAUCUCAGACAAAUAAAGGCCUGCCUGUGGAGGAAAUGGGCAGGCCUCUAAACAGGAGCAAUAGUUCACACAGUCACCAGAGAAUCAGUGCCUGGAGCUCCCGUGCUGUAGCGCGUUCCAAUGAGAAGGCACAGGAGGG
Molecule: long non-coding RNA, 726 nt
Filed under: Equus asinus (donkey)
Lineage: Eukaryota; Metazoa; Chordata; Mammalia; Perissodactyla; Equidae
Description: lncRNA (ENSEASG00005036024.1)
Source: RNAcentral